GGCGGACCCGGCCAAGUGAUUAAGGGCUGGGAAUUGCGAAUCUUCCCCGCGGGGGUCG
RNAcentral lists this transfer RNA (58 nucleotides) under Aneura pinguis. Its description in RNAcentral is "partial tRNA-His". Lineage: Eukaryota; Viridiplantae; Streptophyta; Jungermanniopsida; Metzgeriales; Aneuraceae. The record is from RNAcentral.